Pelobates cultripes (western spadefoot toad) is the source of this 1124-nucleotide non-coding RNA. The record is from the annotation of a GenBank genome assembly. Lineage: Eukaryota; Metazoa; Chordata; Amphibia; Anura; Pelobatidae.
AUAAUGGCAAAAUCUAAAAUUAAAAACAGAUAUAAAUAUAUGGGAUAUAUUCAUAAUGGAUUUCUUUUACUGAUUGUUACUAUAGAAAAAAACAUGUAUACAUGAUAUAUUCAGAUGAUGUAUGGAGUAUUGAAGCAAUCCCAGGGAACUCUCAAGCAACCAAAGUGUAUACAAAUACAUAUAGAAAAGACAUUUACAAAAAAGGCUAUCCUAUAAUAAUUACAAAAAAAUGGGCCAAAUCAAAAUCUAAAUUCAAGCCAUUUGGACGAAGAGAAUCCAUCUUAAAAAUCCAUUGGCUUUCUAUUCUACUGAGUUCUCUGAGGUUGUUCUCACCCCUCCAAUUAUGUCCCUUCUGACAAAAAGCCAUAAAGCCCAAAAGAGAAGGGUCUUUAUUGUGGAAUUCUAGAAAGUGAGCAGACACACUAUGUUUAGUGUACCCCCUCUGGAUAUUCCCCAUGUGUUCCAGUAUGCGUAUCUUCAGUUUUCUAGUGGCCAUACCCACAUACUGUAGACACAGGGGCACCAGAGGAGGUACACAACAUUCGAAGAAUGGCAAGUAAGAACAUCCUUCAUUAUAAAUCGUGUUUUAGUAGCAUAGGAUAUAAAAUCCACCAAUUUGGAUUUAUUAAGACUACUUCUCUUACACGCCAGACAGAUUUUGCAAGGAUAAAAACCUUUUUGGAGUUUAAACAUAUUUUUCGUGGGCGGGUCUUUUAUAAAGCUGGUUUUUGAUAUUCUUUGCCCCCCUAAAAAUCUUUGUCUGUCUUAAGUACAUGCCAAUGUUGAUUAAUUAUGUGUUUAAUUUGUUGGUAAUUAGCGCUAUAGUCUAAAAUUAUUGGGACCCAUUUUUGGUUGGAACUAUGUUCCGUAUUAUUAUUAUUACUAUUAUUGUUUGUGUUUUUAUUUUGAAGGAGGUCUUCCCUAUUUAGGGACCGUACUAGUACUCUUUGUUUUUCCAAUUCUUGUAAUUCAUAAUUUUUCGCUUUAACCCCUUAAGGACACAUGACAUGUGUGACAUGUCAUGAUUUCCUUUUAUUCCAGAAGUUUGGUCCUUAAGGGGUUAAAAAAACUGUUAAGACAUCAGCUUGGGAUUCAUAUUGCUCAGGAUCACUACAAUACCUAAG